CAGUAGGAUCACUUGAACCCAGGAGGUUGAGGCUGCAGUGAGCCAUGAUUGCAGCACUGCACUACAGCCUCGGUGCCAGAGAGAGACCAUGUCUCCAAAAAAAAAAAAAAAGUGUGUGUGUGUUGCAUGUUGUGUUCAAGUGGCACUGUUCCUUUCUCUGUUCUCUGGGCUAAUAGUCAUCCACAGGCUGAACAGGGUGGAGUCAACACCGGGCAGGGUAAGUGACAUCAGGUAACAAACAGUGAAGGCAGGUUGGUGGGACCGCAGCGCUGCAGCAGAGAAAGAGAAGGCUGCUGCCCUUGUCUUGCAGCACUCCUCCUGUUUUCCUCAGACAGGAUCCCUUUAAAGUCGAAUUACGAGAGUGGGCACUCUGAAACACCGUGACUGUGCCCCUCGC
This 397-nucleotide long non-coding RNA is filed under the name Homo sapiens (human). RNAcentral's name for it is "HSALNT0245568". The record is from RNAcentral. Lineage: Eukaryota; Metazoa; Chordata; Mammalia; Primates; Hominidae.